Molecule: ribosomal RNA, 783 nt
Filed under: uncultured Neisseria sp.
Lineage: Bacteria; Pseudomonadati; Pseudomonadota; Betaproteobacteria; Neisseriales; Neisseriaceae
Description: bacterial SSU rRNA
Rfam family: Bacterial small subunit ribosomal RNA
Source: RNAcentral
GAGAAGCUUGCUUCUUGGGUGGCGAGUGGCGAACGGGUGAGUAACAUAUCGGAACGUACCGAGUAAUGGGGGAUAACUAAUCGAAAGAUUAGCUAAUACCGCAUAUUCUCUGAGGAGGAAAGCAGGGGACCUUCGGGCCUUGCGUUAUUCGAGCGGCCGAUAUCUGAUUAGCUAGUUGGUGGGGUAAAGGCCUACCAAGGCGACGAUCAGUAGCGGGUCUGAGAGGAUGAUCCGCCACACUGGGACUGAGACACGGCCCAGACUCCUACGGGAGGCAGCAGUGGGGAAUUUUGGACAAUGGGCGCAAGCCUGAUCCAGCCAUGCCGCGUGUCUGAGGAAGGCCUUCGGGUUGUAAAGGACUUUUGUCAGGGAAGAAAAGGCUGUUGCUAAUAUCGACAGUUGAUGACGGUACCUGAAGAAUAAGCACCGGCUAACUACGUGCCGGCAGCCGCGGUAAUACGUAGGGUGCGAGCGUUAAUCGGAAUUACUGGGCGUAAAGCGAGCGCAGACGGUUACUUAAGCAGGAUGUGAAAUCCCCGGGCUCAACCUGGGAACUGCGUUCUGAACUGGGUGACUAGAGUGUGUCAGAGGGAGGUAGAAUUCCACGUGUAGCAGUGAAAUGCGUAGAGAUGUGGAGGAAUACCGAUGGCGAAGGCAGCCUCCUGGGAUAACACUGACGUUCAUGCUCGAAAGCGUGGGUAGCAAACAGGAUUAGAUACCCUGGUAGUCCACGCCCUAAACGAUGUCAAUUAGCUGUUGGGCAACUUGAUUGCUUAGUAGCGU